GACGAACGCUGGCGGCGUGCUUAACACAUGCAAGUCGAACGGAAAGGCCCUGCUUUUGUGGGGUGCUCGAGUGGCGAACGGGUGAGUAACACGUGAGUAACCUGCCCUUGACUUUGGGAUAACUUCAGGAAACUGGGGCUAAUACCGGAUAUGAGCUCCUGCUGCAUGGGGGGGGUUGGAAAGUUUCGGCGGUUGGGGCUGGACUCGCGGCUUAUCAGCUUGUUGGUGGGGUAGUGGCUUUCCAAGGCUUUGACGGGUAGCCGGCCUGAGAGGGUGACCGGCCACAUUGGGCCUGAGAUACGGACCAGACUGCUACGGGACGCAGCAGUGGGGAAUAUUGCACAAUGGGCGGAAGCCUGAUGCAGAAACGCCGCGUGCGGGAUGACGGCCUUCGGGUUGUAAACAGCUUUCGCCUGUGACGAAGAGUGAGUGACGGUAAUGGGUAAAGAAGCACCGGCUAACUACGUG
Molecule: ribosomal RNA, 468 nt
Filed under: uncultured bacterium
Lineage: Bacteria
Description: partial 16S ribosomal RNA
Rfam family: Bacterial small subunit ribosomal RNA
Source: RNAcentral